AUACCAAUCAAGUCAAGUCAUGUUUUGACGGAUACAGACAGGGAGGACUCGAGGGUGUCUAUUUUAUUUCAUUUGCUCCCGCUCUCUGGUGUAUCUCUUCAGCCGAAAUGAUGUGUUCCUUUCCGUAGUUACGGCGGGCGGAGGGGAGGGAGGACUAUUUACAGACCGCAAACUUCCCCGCGAUGACUUGAUGGUUUCUAUGCAUUCGCUGCAGCUUUUGGGCGGUGAAAUCUGGAAGCAUCACAGAGACAGACAAAAGGUUAAAAAAAAGGAAACAAACUACAAAUGAGUUGCGGCACAUAAGUUAACGGAGUAUAUCAUAAAUUCCACAAAAAAAAGAAAAAAAAAGGAACUUUAAACUCUCCGUAGUCCCUCCCAUCCCGUCGUCCCUGGCCUGGUUGAUUUCCUCCCAUGGAAGUUUAAGAUGUAAGGUAACUUAGUAAGGGGCUCAAAAACGCCUUGUCUAUUCUUUCGCCUUAGGAGGUCUUAAUUUUGCCUUCUUCACUCAUCCAAGUUUUGUCGAAGUCAUUGGGGAAAUGAAUAGUCAACUAGUUACUGGUGCUGAAUUGCUUUGACGAAGCUGGGAUUGCAGGGAGCCCAGCAUCUCUCGCGCCUCUUGCCUCCUCAUCUGAUAAAUACAGCUAUAGUAUAGGAAAUGGAGGGGCAACAAGAAAGAUAAUUCCGUUUGAGCUAAAUACGACGGCAGGAACUUCAUCCAGAUCUCGAGAGAAUAACAAAUACCCUGAGCACG
RNAcentral lists this small RNA (751 nucleotides) under Histoplasma capsulatum. Its description in RNAcentral is "hypothetical RNA". Lineage: Eukaryota; Fungi; Ascomycota; Eurotiomycetes; Onygenales; Ajellomycetaceae. The record is from RNAcentral. RNAcentral also lists the same sequence under 1 other name.